This 335-nucleotide ribosomal RNA is filed under the name uncultured Anoxybacillus sp. Its description in RNAcentral is "bacterial SSU rRNA". It matches the Rfam family "Bacterial small subunit ribosomal RNA", at positions 1047 to 1382 of the family's 1533-position model. Lineage: Bacteria; Bacillati; Bacillota; Bacilli; Caryophanales; Anoxybacillaceae. The record is from RNAcentral.
GGUUGUCGUCAGCUCGUGUCGUGAGAUGUUCGGGUUAAGUCCCGCAACGAGCGCAACCCUCGACCUUAGUUGCCAGCAUUCAGUUGGGCACUCUAAGGUGACUGCCGGCUAAAAGUCGGAGGAAGGUGGGGAUGACGUCAAAUCAUCAUGCCCCUUAUGACCUGGGCUACACACGUGCUACAAUGGGCGGUACAAAGGGUCGCGAACCCGCGAGGGGGAGCCAAUCCCAAAAAGCCGCUCUCAGUUCGGAUUGCAGGCUGCAACUCGCCUGCAUGAAGCCGGAAUCGCUAGUAAUCGCGGAUCAGCAUGCCGCGGUGAAUACGUUCCCGGGCCUU